Molecule: long non-coding RNA, 375 nt
Organism: Oryzias melastigma (Indian medaka)
Lineage: Eukaryota; Metazoa; Chordata; Actinopteri; Beloniformes; Adrianichthyidae
Exons: 2
Source: RefSeq, a predicted model, not a curated record
CAAAAGUAAAGUGAGAGAAAAGACCUAACACAAAAACAAGACAAAAAGCAGAAACUAAACCUGCAGAUCUACCUGAACAGGUGAUCUCCACAGCUUUACCAGGAGGACAGGUCCAUCUUGUGAGCUGUGAACUUCUACAUUUCAGGAGAGCAGACUCAUGACCUUCACAGAGGAACUCUCUGCUCCACUCUGGAGCCUCUGUUUCUCCAUAGAGCGCCCCCUGGAGGCCUGAUGGAGGCCCACAUCCCAGCUCCCUACAGACCACCUCUGCAUCCUGCUGGUCAAAGUCAUCUUCAUUCACUGAGGACCACGAGCCGUUCAGCAUCACCUCCAGCCUGCCUGAGCACAGAUGGUUCACCAGCCUGAUGGAGUCUG